GACGAACGCUGGCGGCGUGCCUAAUACAUGCAAGUCGAACGAAGCGGGGACGGGUGAGUAACAAGUGGAUAACCACCAAUAAGACUGGGAUAACUUCGGGACACCGGAGCUAUACCGAAUACGGAUUGAUGGAUCCGCGCUGCAUUAGCUAGUUGGUAAGGUAACGGCUUACCAAGGCAACGAUGCAUAGCCGACCUGAGAGGGUGAUCGGCCACACUGGAACUGAGACACGGUCCAGACUCCUACGGGAGGCAGCAGUAGGGAAUCUUCCGCAAUGGGCGAAAGCCUGACGGAGCAACGCCGCGUGAGUGAUGAAGGUCUUCGGAUCGUAAAACUUUGUUAUUAGGGAAGCGGUACCUAAUCAGAAAGCCACGGCUAACUACGUGCCAGCAGCCGCGGUAAUAC
RNAcentral lists this ribosomal RNA (405 nucleotides) under uncultured bacterium. RNAcentral describes it as "partial 16S ribosomal RNA". It matches the Rfam family "Bacterial small subunit ribosomal RNA", at positions 28 to 526 of the family's 1533-position model. The record is from RNAcentral.